GCAAAGAGGCACUACACUCCCGGGCGGCGCUUUGGAACCGUCUUUGGCCUGGGUGCACCUACUCUGGAUUCACCCAGGCUGCAGAUGUUCUUUCCGUUUGCUGGGGCCACGGGGCAUAGCACCUGGGCAGAGCAAGCGAAGAGGCGCCACACCCCCGAGAGGCGCUUCGGACUUGUACUUGGACCGGGCGCAGACACUCAGUAUUGGUCAGCGCUGGAAAUUUUCUUUCCUUUUGCUGUUGGCGCCGCAGAACUAGACUCCUCCUUUCCCCUGCUCAGACAAAGGGCACGGGAAGGGCUUUGCUGGGGCAAAGGGGGUGGGGAGGUUCUCUGUCCCACGACAGAUGGGUCGCGGUUAAGACUUUAAUUACUGACUUUUGGUCCGGAUCAGAUUCCUUUUCCUACCUGCCACUUCCCAACAGCGAAAAAAUCCCCCUCCUGCUGCACUCCUCCGCCACAGGGCUAGGUUGAAAGAAAAAAGCCAAGAAGCGCGAAACAGCCCGGCUCUGGAAGACUUUAUAGAGAGUACAGCCGACUUGUGCACAAUUCGCCGGCCUCUGGAGCCUUACCUGCCUUCUUGACUGAAUGUCACCAGUUUGUUUUAUGCUUGUGGCUUUUUGUUGAAGUCCCUAUCACAAGCAAAUGCAGUUUCUGCCUAUGGUUACUGCAAUUCGAAAUUAAAGGCCUGUGAGGUGUGUCCCUCCAGACUGAGAGGCUACGACUCAGGGCUGGACUUUGUGGAAAAAAGAAGUUUAUAAAACAAGUAACCCAGUGUAUCCAACCUUUACUGUGGAGCAACAGCGUCAAGCAACAAAACCCAGCAAAGUUUUGCUUGUCACUUACAAGGGUGUUACUGAAAUCUGGAAGGUGAACAAUUAGAAGAUAGCCCAAACAUGCUCUAUUGCUCUACACUGAAAUACUUGCCUCCAAUGAUAGAAAAAAGUUUUCGUGCAAUUAGUUGAUUAGCGUUUUGCUGCAGUCCCUAGACAAUUUUAAAGACAUUUUGUUUGUAGUCAAAAUUAAACACACACACACACAAACCAUAUUCAAGACACAGUUCGACUCCUUCCUUGACACUACCCACGAGGUUUGAAGCAUUUUUGGAUGUUAUUUUCAAACUUCCUUAAGUGAUCCCAUGAAAUAAAAGUCGAUAAUAGCAAUU
Molecule: long non-coding RNA, 1161 nt
Organism: Piliocolobus tephrosceles (Ugandan red Colobus)
Lineage: Eukaryota; Metazoa; Chordata; Mammalia; Primates; Cercopithecidae
Exons: 3
Source: RefSeq, a predicted model, not a curated record